This 510-nucleotide ribosomal RNA is filed under the name Phyllodistomum sp. TL-1. RNAcentral describes it as "eukaryotic LSU rRNA". The stretch from base 12 to 148 matches the Rfam family "5.8S ribosomal RNA", at positions 17 to 154 of the family's 154-position model. Lineage: Eukaryota; Metazoa; Platyhelminthes; Trematoda; Plagiorchiida; Gorgoderidae. The record is from RNAcentral.
GUACCGGGUGGUCACGUGGCUAGUGUGUCGAUGAAGAGCGCAGCCAACUGUGUGAAUUAAUGUGAACUGCAUACUGCUUUGAACAUCGACAUCUUGAACGCAUAUUGCGGUCACAGGCUUGCCUGUGGCCACGCCUGUCCGAGGGUCGGCUUACAUAUUAUCACGACGCCCAAAAUGUCGUGGCUUGGAUAAUGCCAACUGACGUGAUUUCCCUGUGCCUGAUGGUUGCUGUUCUCGUUAUUCAUCAGGUUGGGGUCGGGUUCACGGCGUUAUCUGGAUGUAUCCGAACACAUUAGCAUCGUGAGAGUGACUCGGAUGAGAAUGUGACGACGGAGUCGUGGCUCAGUGUUUUAAACGCGCUCCGUUUGUUUCAUUGUCUCGCCCAUAUGUUGUCAAUGGCGAUAGUAAUGGUGUUCGACGACUUCUCUCUCCCGACCUCGGAUCAGACGUGAAUACCCGCUGAACUUAAGCAUAUCACUAAGCGGAGGAAAAGAACCUAACCAGGAAAUU